This 253-nucleotide ribosomal RNA is filed under the name uncultured bacterium. RNAcentral describes it as "partial 16S ribosomal RNA". It matches the Rfam family "Bacterial small subunit ribosomal RNA", at positions 524 to 776 of the family's 1533-position model. The record is from RNAcentral.
UACGGGGGGGGCAAGCGUUGUUCGGAAUUACUGGGCGUAAAGGGCGCGUAGGCGGCCUUCUAAGUCGGACGUGAAAUCCCUCGGCUUAACCGAGGAACUGCGUCCGAUACUGAAAGGCUUGAAUCCGGGAGAGGGAUGUGGAAUUCCAGGUGUAGCGGUGAAAUGCGUAGAUAUCGGGAAGAACACCCGUGGCGAAGGCGGCUCUCUGGAACGCAACUGACGCUGAGACGCGAAAGCGUGGGGAGCAAACAGG